GACACAGCCGUAUCCCCCAGCAGCCCAGCACCAGUCCCUCACUGAAGAUGAGCAGGGCUGAGCUUGUUCAGUGUCUGGAUGAGAGAGCACAUGGGAAAACUAGGCUGCUGUUGGCA
Molecule: ribosomal RNA, 116 nt
Filed under: Danio rerio (zebrafish)
Lineage: Eukaryota; Metazoa; Chordata; Actinopteri; Cypriniformes; Danionidae
Source: RNAcentral